GAUGAACGCUGGCGGCGUGCCUAAUACAUGCAAGUCGAGCGAACAGACGAUGAGCUUGCUCCUCUGACGUUAGCGGCGGACGGGUGAGUAACACGUGGAUAACCUACCUAUAAGACUGGGAUAACUUCGGGAAACCGGAGCUAAUACCGGAUAACAUGUUGAACCGCAUGGUUCAACAGUUAAAGACGGUUUUGCUGUCACUUAUAGAUGGAUCCGCGUCGCAUUAGCUAGUUGGUAAGGUAACGGCUUACCAAGGCAACGAUGCGUAGCCGACCUGAGAGGGUGAUCGGCCACACUGGAACUGAGACACGGUCCAGACUCCUACGGGAGGCAGCAGUAGGGAAUCUUCCGCAAUGGGCGCAAGCCUGACGGAGCAACGCCGCGUGAGUGAAGAAGGUCUUCGGAUCGUAAAACUCUGUUAUUAGGGAAGAAAAACUGUGUAAGUAACUAUGCACGUCUUGACGGUACCUAAUCAGAAAGCCACGGCUAACUACGUG
Molecule: ribosomal RNA, 497 nt
Filed under: uncultured bacterium
Lineage: Bacteria
Description: partial 16S ribosomal RNA
Rfam family: Bacterial small subunit ribosomal RNA
Source: RNAcentral